GGUGUGUGUAAAUUUGUUGUUAUCUAAAUAAUGCAAUUCUUAGGGAGUAGGGAAGAAGGGAGCAUGUAGUCAAAUGGAUGUACCCACAGACGUGGCCUAAGAGCGCGUGCGUCAAAGGAGCGGAUCAUUGCGGUCUCUGAGUUGCAGUACUGACAUUCAUUGUUUGCUGAUCUUGACGUUCCAAGUGAACAAGAAAGAGAGAGAACUACAGUGCUUGGUUCCCUGUUAUUGCCUGGUAGGGGUGACCCGAGGCCUUGCUACCAGGUUACAAGUUUACCUGGUUUUGAAGAUCUCUCUUUUUCUUUAUUCCCAAUCCCCCUUUUCUAUCAUCUCUUUUUUCGUCCAAUCCCCUUUCUAUCCACUUGCACCUGCAAGUACAACGAUAAAGGGCAUUCAGUUGAACCCCUGAAAACGGAACUCUUGAAAAAUAACCCCUUGAAAUCUAAACUCUUGAAAAAUAACCCCUUGAAAUCUAAACUCUUGAAAAGGAAGGGCAUUCAGUUGACCCCUGAAAAACGGCUUCAUAGGGCAUUCAGUUGACCCCUGAAAAACGGCUUCAUAGGGCAUUCAGUUGACCCCUGAAAAACGGCUUCAUAGGGCAUUCAGUUGACCCCUGAAAAACGGCUUCAUAGGGCAUUCAGUUGACCCCUAAACAACGGUUUGAAAAGGGCAUUCAGUUGACCCCUAAACAACGGUUUGAAAAGGGCAUUCAGUUGACCCCUAAACAACGGUUUGAAAAGGGCAUUCAGUUGACCCCUGGAAACGGAAAUCUUGAAAAAAGAUCCCCUUGGCAAACUUGAUUCCCUCAUUUAACCCUGUAUAGUGUUUCCUUGUGAUUGGUUUCAGGUCAGACAAUUCUCUAAAGAAGCAAACUCUUCACCCGAAGACAGUCAUCACAUUGACCGCGGCAUCUGGAGCUGAAGACACACACAUUCACAUUAUCGACUGAAGCUGCAGUUACCUGUCAUUUCUUAUAGCAGUAUAUUGUGAUUUAAAAACAUACAGCUUCUUACAGUGUGUACAUACCACAUUUAAUACAUUUAGUAAAAAAUACAGUCUAUUAAAAUAUUUGUUGCUGAACCUUUUUACACAUUAAAUACGUAAUUAUUUCAUAAAAAGUUA
Molecule: long non-coding RNA, 1122 nt
Organism: Astyanax mexicanus (Mexican tetra)
Lineage: Eukaryota; Metazoa; Chordata; Actinopteri; Characiformes; Acestrorhamphidae
Exons: 6
Source: RefSeq, a predicted model, not a curated record